GUACGCUGGCGGCACGCCUAACACAUGCAAGUCGAACGAAGUAGCAAUACUUAGUGGCAGACGGGUGAGUAACAUGUGGGUAUCUACCCUUUGGCCUGGAAUAACACGAGGAAACUUGUGCUAAUACCGGAUAAGUCUUUACGGAGAAAGCUUUAUGCACCAUUGGAUGAGCCUGCACUUGAUUAGUUUGUUGGUGGGGUAAUGGCCUACCAAGACUGUGAUCAAUAGCUGAUUUGAGAGGAUGAUCAGCCACAUUGGGACUGAGACACGGCCCAAACUCCUACGGGAGGCAGCAGUGGGGAAUCUUGCACAAUGGAGGAAACUCUGAUGCAGCGAUGCCGCGUGAGUGAAGAAGGCCCUUGGGUUGUAAAGCUCUUUCGUCGGGGAAGAAAAUGACUGUACCCGAAUAAGAAGGUCCGGCUAACUUCGUGCCAGCAGCCGCGGUAAUACGAAGGGACCUAGCGUAGUUCGGAAUUACUGGGCUUAAAGAGUUCGUAGGUGGUUGAAAAAGUUGGUGGUGAAAUCCCAGAGCUUAACUCUGGAACUGCCAUCAAAACUUUUCAGCUAGAGUUUGAUAGAGGAAAGCAGAAUUUCUAGUGUAGAGGUGAAAUUCGUAGAUAUUAGAAAGAAUACCAAUUGCGAAGGCAGCUUUCUGGAUCAUUACUGACACUGAGGAACGAAAGCAUGGGUAGCGAAGAGGAUUAGAUACCCUCGUAGUCCAUGCCGUAAACGAUGUGUGUUAGACGUUGGAAAUUUAUUUUCAGUGUCGCAGCGAAAGCGAUAAACACACCGCCUGGGGAGUACGACCGCAGGUUAAAACUCAAAUGGAAUUGACGGU
This 838-nucleotide ribosomal RNA is filed under the name alpha proteobacterium SCGC AAA298-G19. Its description in RNAcentral is "SSU rRNA". It matches the Rfam family "Bacterial small subunit ribosomal RNA", at positions 31 to 917 of the family's 1533-position model. Lineage: Bacteria; Pseudomonadati; Pseudomonadota; Alphaproteobacteria. The record is from RNAcentral.